UGAGAGACGCCGAAUCUUGGUUCUUGUAGCACCAGGCAGGACCUGUGCAGAGGGAAAUCCUCUGUACUCACAGCGACCAUGCGGCUCGGUGAUAGCCCCUGCCUGGAGUGGUACAACGGAAAUCAAUACUGGUUUGAGGUCGGACCCACGGACUUGUUCGAACGCAAGGGCUCCCUGACCCUCCGGUCCUAUCACAAGAAAUAUUCGAAGCCUGU
This 215-nucleotide long non-coding RNA is filed under the name Marmota monax (woodchuck). Lineage: Eukaryota; Metazoa; Chordata; Mammalia; Rodentia; Sciuridae. The record is from RNAcentral.